UCGGGGAUGGUGUAAUCGGUAACACUGCUGGUUCUGGUCCAGCCAUUGGGGGUUCGAGUCCUCCUCCCCGAA
RNAcentral lists this transfer RNA (72 nucleotides) under Acidimicrobiaceae bacterium. Its description in RNAcentral is "tRNA-Gln". It matches the Rfam family "tRNA". From Rfam's summary of the family: Transfer RNA (tRNA) molecules are approximately 80 nucleotides in length. Their secondary structure includes four short double-helical elements and three loops (D, anti-codon, and T loops). Lineage: Bacteria; Bacillati; Actinomycetota; Acidimicrobiia; Acidimicrobiales; Acidimicrobiaceae. The record is from RNAcentral.